UACAGAGGUCUCAAGCGUUGUCCGGAUUCAUUGGGCGUAAAGGGUGCGUAGGUGGCGCGCUAAGUCAGGUGUGAAAUCUCGGGGCUUAACUCCGAAACUGCAUUUGAUACUGGCGUGCUUGAGGACUGGAGAGGAGACUGGAAUUCAUGGUGUAGCAGUGAAAUGCGUAGAGAUCAUGAGGAAGACCAGUGGCGAAGGCGGGUCUCUGGACAGUUCCUGACACUGAGGCACGAAGGCCAGGGGAGCAAACGGG
Molecule: ribosomal RNA, 253 nt
Filed under: uncultured bacterium
Lineage: Bacteria
Description: partial 16S ribosomal RNA
Rfam family: Bacterial small subunit ribosomal RNA
Source: RNAcentral